Molecule: ribosomal RNA, 440 nt
Filed under: uncultured bacterium
Lineage: Bacteria
Description: partial 16S ribosomal RNA
Rfam family: Bacterial small subunit ribosomal RNA
Source: RNAcentral
CCUACGGGAGGCAGCAGUGGGGAAUAUUGCACAAUGGGGGCAACCCUGAUGCAGCGACGCCGCGUGAGUGAAGAAGUAUUUAGGUAUGUACAGCUCUAUCAGCAGGGAAGAAAAUGAUGGUACCUCAUUAAGAAGCCCCGGCUUACUACGUGCCAGCAGCAGCGGUAAUAACUAGGGGGCAAGCGUUAUCCGGCUUUACUGGGUGUCAAGGGAGCGUAGACGGCAGGACAAGUCUGGAGUGAAAUGCCGGGGCUUAACCCCGGAACUGCUUUGGAAACUGGGCAGCUAGAGUGCAGGAGAGGUAAGUGGAAUUCCUAGUGUAGCGGUGAAAUGCGUAGAUAUUAGGAGGAACACCAGUGGCGAAGGCGGCUUACUGGACUGUAACUGACGUUGAGGCUCGAAAGCGUGGGGAGCAAACAGGAUUAGAUACCCUUGUAGUC